Molecule: transfer RNA, 66 nt
Filed under: Myonycteris leptodon
Lineage: Eukaryota; Metazoa; Chordata; Mammalia; Chiroptera; Pteropodidae
Description: tRNA-Pro
Rfam family: tRNA
About the family: Transfer RNA (tRNA) molecules are approximately 80 nucleotides in length. Their secondary structure includes four short double-helical elements and three loops (D, anti-codon, and T loops).
Source: RNAcentral
CAAGGAAUAGUUUAAAUAGAAUAUCAGCUUUGGGUGUUGAUGGUGGGGCUUCAGCCUUUUCCUUGA